Molecule: ribosomal RNA, 253 nt
Filed under: uncultured bacterium
Lineage: Bacteria
Description: partial 16S ribosomal RNA
Rfam family: Bacterial small subunit ribosomal RNA
Source: RNAcentral
UACGUAGGGUGCAAGCGUUAAUCGGAAUUACUGGGCGUAAAGCGUGCGCAGGCGGCUUUGCAAGACAGAUGUGAAAUCCCCGGGCUUAACCUGGGAACUGCAUUUGUGACUGCAUGGCUGGAGUGCGGCAGAGGGGGAUGGAAUUCCGCGUGUAGCAGUGAAAUGCGUAGAUAUGCGGAGGAACACCGAUGGCGAAGGCAAUCCCCUGGGCCUGCACUGACGCUCAUGCACGAAGGCCAGGGGAGCAAACGGG